CACGUAGGGGGCAAGCGUUGUCCGGAUUUAUUGGGCGUAAAGAGCUCGUAGGCGGUUCGAUAAGUCGGGUGUGAAACCUCCAGGCUCAACCUGGAGACGCCACCCGAUACUGUCGUGACUAGAGUCCAGUAGGGGAGCGUGGAAUUCCUGGUGUAGCGGUGAAAUGCGCAGAUAUCAGGAGGAACACCAAUUGCGAAGGCAGCUCGCUGGGACGUCACUGACGCUGAGACGCGAAAGCGUGGGGAGCAAACAGG
RNAcentral lists this ribosomal RNA (254 nucleotides) under uncultured bacterium. Its description in RNAcentral is "partial 16S ribosomal RNA". It matches the Rfam family "Bacterial small subunit ribosomal RNA", at positions 524 to 776 of the family's 1533-position model. The record is from RNAcentral.